RNAcentral lists this ribosomal RNA (440 nucleotides) under uncultured bacterium. RNAcentral's name for it is "partial 16S ribosomal RNA". It matches the Rfam family "Bacterial small subunit ribosomal RNA", at positions 338 to 795 of the family's 1533-position model. The record is from RNAcentral.
CCUACGGGGGGCAGCAGUAGGGAAUAUUGCUCAAUGGGGGAAACCCUGAAGCAGCAACGCCGCGUGGAGGAUGAAGGUUUUCGGAUUGUAAACUCCUUUUGUUAGAGAAGAUAAUGACGGUAUCUAACGAAUAAGCACCGGCUAACUCCGUGCCAGCAGCCGUGGUAAUACGGAGGGUGCAAGCGUUAAUCGGAAUAACUGGGCGGAAAGAGGGGGUAGGCGGUUUAGCAAGUGAGAUGUGAAAUCCAAGGGCUUAACCAUAGAACGGCAUUUGAAAAUGUUAUUCUAGAGUAUGGGAGAGGUAGGUGGAAUUCUUGGUGUAGGGGUAAAAUCCGUAGAGAUCAAGAGGAAUACUCAUUGCGAAGGCGACCUGCUAGAACAUAACUGACGCUGAUGCGCGAAAGCGUGGGGAGCAAACAGGAUUAGAUACCCUUGUAGUC